UUCGGAGGUCAGCGGCGGACGGGUGAGUAACACGUGGGCAACCUGCCUGUAAGACUGGGAUAACUCCGGGAAACCGGAGCUAAUACCGGAUAGUAUCUUGAACCGCAUGGUUCAAGUUGGAAAGACGGUUUCGGCUGUCACUUACAGAUGGGCCCGCGGCGCAUUAGCUAGUUGGUGAGGUAAUGGCUCACCAAGGCAACGAUGCGUAGCCGACCUGAGAGGGUGAUCGGCCACACUGGGACUGAGACACGGCCCAGACUCCUACGGGAGGCAGCAGUAGGGAAUCUUCCGCAAUGGACGAAAGUCUGACGGAGCAACGCCGCGUGAGUGAUGAAGGUUUUCGGAUCGUAAAACUCUGUUGUUAGGGAAGAACAAGUGCGAGAGUAACUGCUCGCACCUUGACGGUACCUAACCAGAAAGCCACGGCUAACUACGUGCCAGCAGCCGCGGUAAUACGUAGGUGGCAAGCGUUGUCCGGAAUUAUUGGGCGUAAAGCGCGCGCAGGCGGUUUCUUAAGUCUGAUGUGAAAGCCCCCGGCUCAACCGGGGAGGGUCAUUGGAAACUGGGAAACUUGAGUGCAGAAGAGGAGAGUGGAAUUCCACGUGUAGCGGUGAAAUGCGUAGAGAUGUGGAGGAACACCAGUGGCGAAGGCGACUCUCUGGUCUGUAACUGACGCUGAGGCGCGAAAGCGUGGGGAGCGAACAGGAUUAGAUACCCUGGUAGUCCACGCCGUAAACGAUGAGUGCUAAGUGUUAGAGGGUUUCCGCCCUUUAGUGCUGCAGCUAACGCAUUAAGCACUCCGCCUGGGGAGUACGGUCGCAAGACUGAAACUCAAAGGAAUUGACGGGGGCCCGCACAAGCGGUGGAGCAUGUGGUUUAAUUCGAAGCAACGCGAAGAACCUUACCAGGUCUUGACAUCCUUUGCCACUUCUAGAGAUAGAAGGUUCCCCUUCGGGGGACAAAGUGACAGGUGGUGCAUGGUUGUCGUCAGCUCGUGUCGUGAGAUGUUGGGUUAAGUCCCGCAACGAGCGCAACCCUUGAUCUUAGUUGCCAGCAUUCAGUUGGGCACUCUAAGGUGACUGCCGGUGACAAACCGGAAGAAGGUGGGGAUGACGUCAAAUCAUCAUGCCCCUUAUGAC
This 1139-nucleotide ribosomal RNA is filed under the name Bacillus sp. (in: firmicutes). RNAcentral's name for it is "bacterial SSU rRNA". It matches the Rfam family "Bacterial small subunit ribosomal RNA", at positions 84 to 1208 of the family's 1533-position model. The record is from RNAcentral. Lineage: Bacteria; Bacillati; Bacillota; Bacilli; Caryophanales; Bacillaceae.